RNAcentral lists this long non-coding RNA (3723 nucleotides) under Ficedula albicollis (Collared flycatcher). Its description in RNAcentral is "lncRNA (ENSFALG00000027828.1)". The record is from RNAcentral. Lineage: Eukaryota; Metazoa; Chordata; Aves; Passeriformes; Muscicapidae.
GGGGGGGGGGGGGGGGGGGGGGGGGGGGGGGGGGGGGGGGGGGGGGGGGGGGGGGGGGCCGUGAGGGGAUGCGGGAUGGGCAGUGCCGGGACUGUGCGGGUUUGGGCAGUGCCCGGACUGUGCGGGUUUGGGCAGUGCUCGGGGCCGUGCGGGUUUGGGCAGUGCCGGGACUGUGCGGACGGAGAUGGCCCGGUGGCGGUAGCGCGCUCGGGCCGCUCGGUGUCACAGAAAGUUUGAGCCCCGGGCCGGUGCGUGGCUCUCUCCCUGUUUCUGCUCCCCGCUUUCCCGGCUGGAAGCUUUGUCCUCCCUCGGCACCCCCGCUGUCCCUGCCCCGCACGGAAUGACAAAGGGAGCAUCCUGCUUCCCCAGGCUCCCACACCCUCCGUGCCGGAGCGAGGGGAUGAUCCCGAGCUGCCACGGGUAGCAAGGAUCGCCUGAACCUCAGACCCUGACACGAGGUAAAGUGAUAAACAUCAGAAACUACAAUUCACGUCCAGCGUUUUAAUGCCUGAAUGCUGAAUCUUCUCAUGAGGUCACAGCCACUACGGAACAACCCCAGUAACCCCUGUUUUCCGAGCUUCAUCUAUGUGUCACAGUUAACCCUGCUUUUCAGGAAGAUGGCACCAACAGGCAUUAGAAAUUCAAACAACCUUGAGUCAUUGUAUCCUACAAGGCAACUUUUCAAAAGGUAAGAAUAACCCCUCUCACAUUCAAUCCAUAAUUAAGAGCAAAAAAAAAUUAAAAAUCAAUGCCAUGGAAACAAACCUAAAAUUGCCUUGGAGGAUUUGGAGUUUUAAUUCAGUCCUAGCUGUACAUAAAGUCUUUUAUGGUUUGUAUGUUCAGACCCAGGAUCCUGCUACAAACCUGGAGAAGAGACAGGCACAUAACUCAUAGUCAAACCCUAAAAUCCUGUGGUCACUCCAUCAUCCACACUCAGGUUCAUUAUAAGAGGGUGAAAAUGUGAAUGAUUUGUGUGACACAAAGCUAGAAAUACCUCACAAAUUGCUGAAAAUCAGCUUUUGGCAGGCGCUGAGGGGAAGCUGGUUUGGGGGUUCUACAGGGGUGUUUUGACACAGAUAAACAGAAGGUUUGUUUGCAAAGCUAACAACUGAGAUUUUUCUUCUCGAUAAAUAAAAGCACUUUUUAUUAAACAAACAAACACCACCCCAACUUGGCAGAGUAGUUUACCAAAAAGGGAAACCACAUGGCCUUAACUUACAGGAGCAGAAAUAUUUGUGCAAACAGGAAAGUACCUGCUGCUUAUUCUGAAGCAGUCUAGGAUAAAGAUACUCCCGUUGUCCUUCAUUACCACUGCUCCCACUGAAGUCAGGCUGGUGCAUUACACAGAAGCAGCAAGAUCUAUUUUAAUUAUAAACCAGUUUGGAAAAAGCUGGAUUUAAAGGCUUUUGGCAAAUGGCUGUUACAGAUGAUCCCAAUAAAAAAAAAAAUCUUAGGAUCUUAAAAAAGAAUGCAAGAAUUUGAAGCAGCUCCUUGCUGAAGGACAAGGCAAGCAUUUUUGCCACCACUUCCCCUAAGAAAGGAGCAGAAUUAAGUCCCCAAAAAGCAGGAGGGAGGGAGAAAGCCACAAGUUCUCUUAGGGUGACAGAUGGCUGCAGGGCACCUGACACCUGUGAGUGUGUGGUCCUGAGGAGGACAGCACAGCAGGAGAAUAAAGAUAUCCAAAAAAAUGCAAGGAAAAAAAAUCUCUGUGUGGGAAAUAACAUGAGAGCUAAAAUGUCACAUGUGCCAAGAGCCCCCUGCCCUGUGCAGGAGGAUUAACUCCUAAAAGCUCCCGAGCUUUCUGUUGCUGCUGCUGCUGUUCUUUUAUUCUGGGGAGAGGCAAGCAGCAAACUUUGAAGCUGUGCUGGCUACAAGGAUCCCAUCACCUGGGACUGUCCCCAGCCCAGCUGGCCCUGCUGCUGGCCUCGGGGGCUGCACUGCUGGCCACUGCUUCCCUUUGCAGAACUAAGGGAACCAGCCUGAGGAAAAGCUGAUCCCUCUUUCUGAACUGGUUUGCAGCAUUCUGUGUUCCACAGGCCCCUUUUGCCGUGCUGCUCUCAGCAGCAGAAACAACUUCCCCUUCAUUUCUUUCACUUGGGAGAAAUUAUUUCAGUUUUGUUCAGUGGUACUCCAGUCACUUCUGGCCUGAGGAGACCAAACAAACCCCAGAGUAUUCACCCCAAGCAUCCCAUUCCCUUCAGCAGGUUCUGAACAAGGCUCAGCUCUCCGGGGCUGCCAAGGAGCCAAGAGCCACCUGUGUCAGCAGAGCUGCAGAAUUAUCCACUAACACCCCCACUAUUACAUCCCUCUGUACCUCCUGUGCAGUGACAAGGGAGAGCAGAAUGCUUCAGGUAACAACAAACGUCAAAGCCCACUGAAUCAGACAAUCAGAAUCAGCAAGGUUGGGAAAGACCUUUGAGGUCAUCCAGUCCAAACAUGAAGCCAGCCCCACCACCCUGUUCAGCACUAACCCCAGAGCCUCAGCCAGGUGUUUUUAGAGCCCUUCCAGGGGUGUGACUCCACCCUGCUGUGGGCAGCCUGUGCACCACCCUGUUCAGCACUUACCCCAGAGCCUCAGCCAGGUGUUUUUAGAGCCCUUCCAGGGGUGUGACUCCACCCUGCUGUGGGCAGCCUGUGCCAGGCCCUGACCACCCUCAACUUUCCUAAUAUCUGAUUUAACUUCCCCUGGCACGAACUGAGGCUCUUUCCUGUCACCCUGCCCUGAUGAUGGACACCAACAGGACGUGGCUGUAGGACACCAGGAAAAGUUAUGCUUUGUAGCUUCUCCACCCAUAUUUCCUUUGAGCUUUGCACCCCUGGAACACUGAACUAAAUUUCAACAGCAAAUACAAAAUGGUUGCUUGAAAAGGUCUGCCAAGACUCCACUCUCUAAAUCAGGGCUCAACCAAGGCAUAGCUCAGCCUCCACUGAAGAGUUUGGAGGGUUUUUUCUUCUAUUUUUAUCUUUUUUUUUUUUUUCAUUUUCAUUACAUUCCUACCAAGAAAAAAAUAGCUUGAAAUUUUGUUACUAAAUAGAGAAGAAGAACUAAAGGAUAUGUGUCAGUAUCAGGCAGAGGAGAUCAGUUUGCACGUCUAAUAGAAAAAUUCUAUUUUUGCCCAUUCCAGUGGAGUUCUGUGAACAGCACACACAUACUUUUCAAGUGCUAGCCAAAAUAAUCACUUCUCUCCUUCUGUGGGGGAAAAAAAAGUCCACUAAAUCAUGAAUAUUCAAUGGAUUGGUUAAUGACAUAGUAAUGCUUUAGCUGAAAUCUUUGCUCCUUAAAAUACAGCCAACACGAGCUGCCAGUUAGAAGAAGAAUUAAAAAUAGAGAAAUAACUUGAUUUGCAGGAGCUAUCACCCCCCAGUCGCUGCAGGAGUGUGUGAUGGUAGCAUGAUACCAUGACAGAUCUGGGGCAGACUGUCUUCACAAUCUGGGAGACGUAAAACAGGCAGGAAAAAAUAGUUUCUGUUACUCACUGGAGCUUCUGCCAGUGCUGGGGGCUCUCCAGGGCGAGGGUGCCUCCCCUCAGCACCAGCUCUGCCCUUGCCCAGAUGACCCCAGGGUGCACCCAGUUACUUUUCCAGCCUUGUAGCACCAGCUCAAAGAAAAAAAAAAAAAAAAAAAAGGGGGGGGGGGGGGGGGGGGGGGGGGGGGGGGGGGGGGGGGGGGGGGGGGGGGGGGGGGGGGGGGGGGGGGGGGGGGGGGGGGGGGGGGGGGGGGGG